GACUUUGGACGCUCAUCGGCUAUAAAUGAUCGAAGUCGCUUGGCUCCAGGUAAGCUUGUUCCUUAGUUAUGUUCUUAUGCUUUCAUUAGUUUCAUUGAUAUAAAGUUUUUUCAAUUACAUUCUAUUUUAACAAAUAUAAUAUUUUAUAUCUAGAUGAAUGGUGGGUCACCUAUGGAAGUUGUGCACCUAAUUUGCAAAAGUUAGCUAUUCGUGUUUUAAGCCAAACUUGUAGUGCGUCCGAGUGCGAG
RNAcentral lists this long non-coding RNA (248 nucleotides) under Elaeis guineensis (African oil palm). RNAcentral's name for it is "long non-coding RNA (EGUI_LNC082102)". Lineage: Eukaryota; Viridiplantae; Streptophyta; Magnoliopsida; Arecales; Arecaceae. The record is from RNAcentral.